This 699-nucleotide ribosomal RNA is filed under the name uncultured Escherichia sp. RNAcentral's name for it is "bacterial SSU rRNA". It matches the Rfam family "Bacterial small subunit ribosomal RNA", at positions 53 to 742 of the family's 1533-position model. The record is from RNAcentral. Lineage: Bacteria; Pseudomonadati; Pseudomonadota; Gammaproteobacteria; Enterobacterales; Enterobacteriaceae.
ACAUGCAAGUCGAACGGUAACAGGAAACAGCUUGCUGUUUCGCUGACGAGUGGCGGACGGGUGAGUAAUGUCUGGGAAACUGCCUGAUGGAGGGGGAUAACUACUGGAAACGGUAGCUAAUACCGCAUAACGUCGCAAGACCAAAGAGGGGGACCUUCGGGCCUCUUGCCAUCGGAUGUGCCCAGAUGGGAUUAGCUUGUUGGUGGGGUAACGGCUCACCAAGGCGACGAUCCCUAGCUGGUCUGAGAGGAUGACCAGCCACACUGGAACUGAGACACGGUCCAGACUCCUACGGGAGGCAGCAGUGGGGAAUAUUGCACAAUGGGCGCAAGCCUGAUGCAGCCAUGCCGCGUGUAUGAAGAAGGCCUUCGGGUUGUAAAGUACUUUCAGCGGGGAGGAAGGGAGUAAAGUUAAUACCUUUGCUCAUUGACGUUACCCGCAGAAGAAGCACCGGCUAACUCCGUGCCAGCAGCCGCGGUAAUACGGAGGGUGCAAGCGUUAAUCGGAAUUACUGGGCGUAAAGCGCACGCAGGCGGUUUGUUAAGUCAGAUGUGAAUCCCCGGGCUCAACCUGGGAACUGCAUCUGAUACUGGCAAGCUUGAGUCUCGUAGAGGGGGGUAGAAUUCCAGGUGUAGCGGUGAAAUGCGUAGAGAUCUGGAGGAAUACCGGUGGCGAAGGCGGCCCCCUGGACGAAGACUG